RNAcentral lists this ribosomal RNA (1962 nucleotides) under Triticum aestivum (bread wheat). Its description in RNAcentral is "partial small subunit ribosomal RNA". Lineage: Eukaryota; Viridiplantae; Streptophyta; Magnoliopsida; Poales; Poaceae. The record is from RNAcentral.
AUGUAUCCAACCUCACUGCUCUCCAUCUUGGUCUCACUGUUCCUCUUCCAUCAACGGGUACAUGCCGAGUGUGAGCCGGUGGCGUGCGGGAACUUCACCAUCAAGUACCCGUUCUGGCUCGGCACGCGCAGCCGACCCCCGCCGGAGCCCUACUGCGGCCACCCAUCCUUCGAGCUCUGGUGCAUCGGCAGCAACACCACGGCUUCCAUGAGCGGAUCCCCCAUCCACGUCCACAGCAUCGACUACGGCGCCCAAUCCUUCGUCGUCGUCCACAGCAGAGUCGCCGCGGGCAUGGACGGCGUGUGCCUUGCCGACUUCAACGUCUCGUCCAGCCUCGCCCUCAGCCCGUUCAGGAUCAGCCCAAGCAACCGUGCCCUGGGCUUCCUGUUCAACUGCAACGGGACGGAGCCACGCGGGAGUGAGUACGCAAAAGCCACCGCGGGCUGCAAUAGGCCCAUCGUCGCGUACCUGGGCGGGAGCUUCGUUCGGGACACGCCGCCGGCGAUCCCGACCGGGGACUGCACGUACACGUACCACCCGGUGCUCGGGACGGAGGUGGCGGUGUCAACGGCGGCCAACUACAGCCGGCUCCUGAAGGCCGGGUUCCUGUUGGACUGGGCGGGCACCCGCAUCGGCACCGGCAACUGCCCCGCCUGCAUCGCCAGCGGGGGGGGGCAGUGCCGGUACCGCAGCGCAACUGCGUCGCUCGCCUGCCUCUGCCCCGACGGGAAGCUGCACGGCCCGACAUGCGCCGGUAGCAAGGGAACUAGCAAGAUGAUUAUGCUAAUAGCUGUGACAUCAGCAGCUGGAGCCUUGCUCUUUACAUGUAUUUAUGUCCUGGUGUGGCGCAAAAAAGGGAAAAUACUAUGGCUUCUCCUUUGCAAGAAGACCAGCAGGAAAACUGAAAAAAAUUAUGAGGCAAUGAUAGUUUCGUAUGGAUCCCUAGCUCCAAAAAGAUACAUGUACUCAGAGGUAAUGAAGAUAACGUCUUCUCGCAACAAUCAGCUUGGAAAAGGUGGUUAUGGUGUGGUCUUCAAAGAAAGACUACAUGAUGGUCGUCUGGUUGCUGUGAAAUUCUUGCAUGACUGCAAAGGAAAUGGGGAUGAGUUUGUGAAUGAGGUUAUGAGCAUUGGAAGGAUCUCGCAUGUUAAUGUUGUUAGCUUGUGUGGGUUUUGUUUGGAGGGAUCAAAACGAGCUCUUAUAUAUGAGUACAUGCCCAACGGUUCCUUAGAUAAGUACAUUUACUCAGAGAACCCCAAAGAAAUUUUAGCAUGGGAGAGGCUCUAUGCGAUAGCACUCGGGAUUGCUCGUGGCCUCGAAUACUUGCACCAUAGUUGUAAUACAAGUAUCGUCCAUUUCGAUAUCAAGCCCCAAAAUAUCCUUCUAGACAAGGAUUUUAGCCCGAAGAUUGCUGAUUUUGGUCUAGCUAAAUUGUGUUAUACAAAGGAGAGCAAGCUUUCAAUGACUGGUGCUAGAGGAACAAUUGGAUUCAUCGCUCCAGAAGUUCACUCUCGAACAUUUGGAGUGGUUUCAACAAAGUCAGAUGUUUAUAGUUAUGGAAUGAUGCUUUUGGAGAUGGUUGGAGGAAGGAGAAAUGUAAAAUCAACUGUUGCAAAAUCCAGUGAAAAGUAUUUUCCAGACUGGAUUUAUGAUCACUUUGCGCAAGAUGAUGGAUUACAAGCAUGUGAAGUCACAAGAGAAACUGAGGAAAUAGCAAGAAAGAUGACAUUAAUUGGCUUGUGGUGCGUACAGAUAUUGCCUGCAUAUCGCCCUACCAUAACCAAAGUUCUAGAAAUGUUCGAGAGAAGCUCAGAUGACAUGGACAUGCCACCGAAGCAAAACUUCUCAGGAUUGCUUGAAAGUUCAGCUCACAAUAUGGAUGUACAAAGUCCAAGUUCUACCAGAUCCGAGGAGAUCAGCCUUGUGAAUUCAAAAAUCCUACAACAAUCGCCAACUCUUUGA